Molecule: long non-coding RNA, 727 nt
Organism: Raphanus sativus (radish)
Lineage: Eukaryota; Viridiplantae; Streptophyta; Magnoliopsida; Brassicales; Brassicaceae
Exons: 2
Source: RefSeq, a predicted model, not a curated record
AAUAUGGGGUCGUUGAUAGCCUAAAGUGUUCUUCAACAGAGAACCCUGACAGAGAAAAAAGAGAUGAGGCAGAGAGAGAUGAGAGAUUGCAGGAGGAAGAAUAGACCGGUCUAAGUUCGUGCCAUCGUCACCAGUCUGAGUUCGUCCAUCGUCAUUGAUCUGAGUUCGUCUCCACCGCGGGUUCAAUGUAAACCCGAGCGGUCUUGUAGCCUCUGCUCCGAUGCACCGCUCCAUCUUCAGCACAGGGGAACUUACCCCGCUUCAAGACCCCACUCCCAUAGCCCGUUCCAGAUGCACUAACCGCUCCAACAACGCUGAGAUUGCUCGAGCUCGGACUCCAUCUUCUUCGUCUCAAGGUGAGAUUCUCCGGCUCGUCUUAGCUCUUUGCUCGUGGUCGCCAUCCUCACCAUCGCAGCCAAGCUUCUCCGCCACGGAUCAGUCUUCAUCUCCGUCCCUUUGCUCCACCACGAAGCUCCUUCGCCGCGACUCCUCUGUGAAUCGACUACAUCUCCGCCGCCAUCUUCAUCCAUCGUGUUCACGCCGUGACUGGGCUUUACCUCUCGCGUCAUCGGCAUCAGAAUCGUCGGGAUCGGAGAUGAAGCUUUCGUGAAACACCAAUGGCCAUUUUUGGCUAAUUUGCAAUUUUAGUCCCUGAACUUUUUGAAACUUUGUUUCUGACCCCGGAACUUUGGAAAUUUCAUAUAAGUCCUCGCGAAUUGACCCAAAA